GAUGAACGCUGACAGAAUGCUUAACACAUGCAAGUCAACUUGAACUUCGGUUUGGGUGGCGGACGGGUGAGUAACGCGUAAAGAACUUGCCUCACAGAUAGGGACAACAUUUGGAAACGAAUGCUAAUACCUGAUAUUAUGAUUUUAGGGCAUCCUAGGAUUAUGAAAGCUAUAUGCGCUGUGAGAGAGCUUUGCGUCCCAUUAGCUAGUUGGAGAGGUAACGGCUCACCAAGGCGAUGAUGGGUAGCCGGCCUGAGAGGGUGAUCGGCCACAAGGGGACUGAGACACGGCCCUUACUCCUACGGGAGGCAGCAGUGGGGAAUAUUGGACAAUGGACCAAGAGUCUGAUCAAGCAAUUCUGUGUGCACGAUGAAGUUUUUCGGAAUGUAAAGUGCUUUCAGUUGGGAAGAAAAAAAUGACGGUACCAACAGAAGAAGUGACGGCUAAAUACGUG
RNAcentral lists this ribosomal RNA (454 nucleotides) under uncultured bacterium. RNAcentral's name for it is "partial 16S ribosomal RNA". It matches the Rfam family "Bacterial small subunit ribosomal RNA", at positions 28 to 507 of the family's 1533-position model. The record is from RNAcentral.